Molecule: ribosomal RNA, 496 nt
Filed under: uncultured bacterium
Lineage: Bacteria
Description: bacterial SSU rRNA
Rfam family: Bacterial small subunit ribosomal RNA
Source: RNAcentral
CAGUGGCUCGAGGACGAACGCUGGCGGCGUGCCUAACACAUGCAAGUCGAACGGGGUUAUUAUGGAAGAUCCUUCGGGGUUGGAAGUAUUAACUUAGUGGCGAACGGGUGAGUAACGCGUGAGGAACCUGCCUUUCAGUGGGGGGACAACAGUUGGAAACGACUGCUAAUACCGCAUAACAUGGAAAGACCGCAUGACUCUUGUACCAAAGGAGCAAUCCGCUGAAAGAUGAGCUCGCGUCUGAUUAGCUAGUUGGUGAGGUAACAGCCCACCAAGGCGACGAUCAGUAGCCGACCUGAGAGGGUGAUCGGCCACAUUGGGACUGAGACACGGCCCAAACUCCUACGGGAGGCAGCAGUGGGGAAUAUUGCACAAUGGGGGAAACCCUGAUGCAGCAACGCCGCGUGAAGGAUGAAGGUUUUCGGAUCGUAAACUUCUAUCAACAGGGAAGAAACAAAUGACGGUACCUGAAUAAGAAGCCCCGGCUAACUACGUG